RNAcentral lists this ribosomal RNA (1403 nucleotides) under uncultured Bordetella sp. Its description in RNAcentral is "partial 16S-23S ribosomal RNA intergenic spacer". It matches the Rfam family "Bacterial small subunit ribosomal RNA". The record is from RNAcentral. Lineage: Bacteria; Pseudomonadati; Pseudomonadota; Betaproteobacteria; Burkholderiales; Alcaligenaceae.
UGAAGGCGGCAGCACGGACUUCGGUCUGGUGGCGGUACCGUGAGCAGGGUGAGUAAUGUAUCAGACUAAUGUCGGGGGAUAACUACGCGAAAGCGUAGCUAAUACCGCAUACGCCCUUCGGGGAAAGCGGGGGAUAACUUCGGGACUCCACGCUAUGGCAGCCGAUAUCGGUUAAGCUAGUUGGUGCAGGGUAACGGCUCGCAAGGCGACGAUCAGCAGCUGCGAUUUAAGAGAGGACGACCAGCACACUGGGACUGGAGCCGGCAGACUCCUACGGGAGGCAGCAGUGGGGAAUUUUGGACAAUGGGGAAACCUGAUCCAGCCAUCCCGCGUGUGCGAUGAAGGCCUUCGGGUUGUAAAGCUUUUGGCAGGAAAGAAACGGCACGGGAUAAUACCCCGUGCAACUGACGGUACCUGCAGAAGUCAGCACCGGCUAACUACGUGCCAGCAGCCGCGGUAAUACGUAGGGUGCAGCGUUAAUCGGAAUUACUGGGCGUAAAGCGUGCCAGGCGGUUCGGAAAGAAGAUGCCGAAGUCCAGAGCUUAACUUUGGAACUGCAUUUUUAACUACCGAGCUAGAGUGUAUGGGAGGUGGGAAUUCGCGUGUAGUGAAAUGCGUAGAUCAUGCCGGAGGAACACCGAUGGCGAAGGCAGCCUCCUGGGAUAGCGCACUGACGCUCUUUUGAAAGCGUGGGAGCAAACAGGAUUAGACUAUUACAGUAGUCCCGCACAACGAUGUCCUUCAGCUGUUGGGCCUUCGGGCCUUGGUAGCGCAGCUAACGCGUGAAGUUGACCUGGGAAGUACGGUCGCAAGAUUAAAACUCAAAGGUCGGCGGACUGCCUGACAGUGGAUGAUGCCGGUUCAGACUGGUACAACGCGAAAACCUUACCUACCCUUGACAUGUCUGGAAUCCCGAAGAAGAGAUUUGGAGUGCUCGCAAAGGAGCGGAGCGUACGGUGCUGCAUGGCUGUCGUCAGCUCGUGUCGUGAGAUGUUGGGUUAAGUCCGCAACGAGCGCAACCCUUGUCAUUGAACACUGCGAGCGUAAUGAGACUGCCGGUGACAAACCGGAGGAAGGUGGGGAUGACGUCAAGUCCUCAUGGCCCUUAUGGGUAGGGCUUCACACGUCAUACAAUGGUCGGGACAGAGGGUCGCCAACCCGCGAGGAGCCAAUCCCAGAAACCCGAUCGUAGUCCGGAUCGCAGUCUGCAACUCUCGACUGCGUGAAGUCGGAAUCGCUAGUAAUCGCGGAUCAGCAUGUCGCGAGUGAAUACGUUCCCGGGUCUUGUACACCGCCCCGUCACACCAUGGGAGUGGGUUUUACCAAGUAGUUAGCCUAACCGUAAGGAGGGCGAUUACCACGGUAGGAUUCGCAGCUGGGGUGAAGUCGCUAACAAGACCAGC